GGAAGACCUGAACAGGCAAGCAUAGUAUUGCAAGUAAGAAAAUGUGAAACAUUGCUAAUAACUUGCCUCAUAUACAUGACAGUUUUAGGUCAUACAAGCAGCGGGUUAAAGAAAAACAGUCUAUAUGUGAUGAACCAAGCCUAAGUCAAAUAGGUAAUGCCAAUACAACCAAAUUCAUUACAAUAGAUGGAUUUCAGUCCUAACACUGGAAUGUAAAUAAGCAUAACAGAAGUGAAUCAUAUAACGUGGUUUAUACAAAGCACGAUAGUCUUCCUGUGAGUACAACUUCUACCACACAUAGCCUCUAAACAAAAGAAAAGAUAACCAUGAGUUAUUUGUACUUAUAAUAGAGCAACAUCACAACAGUUCUAGUUAUCCGCGCUGUUACGUUGCAUAUAUAUAAGAGAAGCCAUGCAUGUACCUAGCUAGAACGAAUCAGCCCAUAGCAUUUUUCAGACUCAUUUCGUGUCCUCGGUUUCUCAAUGCUGCUCUAACUGUAGCAUCUUAUCUCUGUUUUCACCGCGGGUAUCAUGAAUCCUUUUGCUUACAUAGCAGCAGGGUCUUCCGACAUGGUCUCAUGUAACAGCCGUACAGCUGUUUUAUCUCCAAAAGAUGAUAUUGCUGUAUGCAAAUAAACAGUCAAGCACAUCAUGCAACUGUCACAUUUUGCUUCGAUACUCAGCCACUGGUAGGCCAGAAGUUUGUAGAAGAAUAUCCAACAUCAUCAUGUGAGGUAUUUUCACCAUCGGUGGAGCACCCUGUAGGUUUUAAUGACAUGCCAUAAAUUUGCAGAAUUUACAGGGAAACCUAAGACAUUUUAGAAAUUACUUCAUACCUAAGACAUAGAACAAUUGGCAUGCCGUCCUCAAACUAUAUUCUUUGUAGUCACAAUAAAAGCUAUCCAGUGUGGAGAAAUAGGUAUGCUGAUUUAUAAGACGCUCGCCACAAAAUUUGAUUAUUAGUAGAUGAUCCAGGACCUAGGGAAAGCUGAUUACACAUUUGUUGACUGUCUAUUGACCUGUGUUGUGAUGAUAGCAUAGAAUGACAAUCAGAGUAAUUGCUUAGCACUAUUAUUAGGUCUCAGGCUUCUCCUAGGUGUGUACCUAUUUCUGAAACGUACAUAGGCUAGAGAGGGAAUCCAUGAUAGAACGAAUAUAAAAAGUUAUAGUCUCCUUUGUCCGAACAUCAAAAGUAAAUUAGUUAAAGAAGGAUUCGGAGAGCACCUGCUAAUAAGCAAUUGCAUCUAUCAUGGUAAAUAAGCACAUCACAUAAGGGACAUCCAACAUCUGUUUUUAUAAGCUGCAAUCAUAGAACUGAUUCUCAUCCAUCAUCAUCAAAUUGAAAGAGAAAUUACCUGUUAGUCGCUGGACAGCCGCCGAGGUUGUAUCAUGGGUUCUGAGCAAGAAAGGAGGCGAAGGAUCCAUGUAUGGUUUCGUCUGGUCGACAGGAAGAUAUAUAUAGUAAGAAAUGAUACAGCUGAAUAUAUAUAUAGAAGGCCCACUAUUCGAUCCAGCUGAAGCUUGUAAUGAGCCUGCAGGCAUCAUCCAGACAUAUGUAUAGUAAGCAAUGAUAUAAGUUUAUCACAAUAUCUCAAGUAACAAAGAACUGGUGAACUGAUGAUUUAAUGAAAAAUCCUUGAAUGUGCAGAUCCAAACAGUAAUAGCAAGUUAAAGAUCAAGUUGGACAGGGUAACGUCUAAUUGGCAUCACCCUUUUUAUAAAAGUCAAAAAGAUCUUAAUGGCCUCGUGACUGAAUAAGAUGUGUAGAUGGAGAAACCAUGCGUAUGAAGCUGCUCAGUACAACUUAACUGAAUUCACUGACUUGAGGUAACGAUGAAGAAAGAAUAAAACAUUCAUAAAAUGCAGAUUCUCUCUUCUUUGAAGAUAUUACAUGACUCGGCAUCUUCUUGUAGGAAAGAACAAAGCAAAUAAAGAAGGAUAAAAUAAGAACAAAGCAAUGAACAGAGCAUCAAGGAAUCAGUAGAACAAUUUCAGCUCACCAUGUCGCGUCACCCCGCGGCUGACCUUCAUGUUCAAAUAACCAAGUAUAUCACAUCAUUUCUGGUUCAUGUACCCCUGGAAAACACAAUGACAUCAGUUAAUGGCGUACACAUAUUUAAAAAAAACUAUGAGCAUAUUUUCACUAACAAUACACACACCAACACCAAAAUCAGAAGAAACAAAAUUGAGAAUAUGACAAGUGAACUUGGCACACGAUAAAUUUGACAGGCCAAUGUAUGACAACUUGUCAUGUCCAUAUGGCAAAAAGCAAUACUUGACACAAAUUAAUUUAUCUGUAAAAAUGACAUAAGGAAUGUACUCAAUAAGCAUGCUAAGAUACAGUCAAGCGUCGAAUGGGUUACUUCGAUUCUGAUAUAGCAAUUACACAAAAAAUAUAGUUCAUAACAGCAUGACAAGUGAGGUGAAAGCAUUGAUAUAUCUGAACACUUCAUCAUUUUACUGAAAAUUAAUAUUUGUAUGCCUUUUCUACUUGUGAAAUAUUUGUAUUGUUUGACCAUGAUGUAUUUUGUCUAAGUAGACGAUGAUAUACUGAACUUACUGACAAGUGUCAAAUUCUUGAUUUAUUAGACAUCUAACUAAGGGAUAUACAGGGACAGUUAACAACAUUUAUCGCUGCAAUGCGCAUGUACUGCAUUUAGACAACAAGUGCCGAUCAUCAGUCCCAACACUGAAGAUUCAUUUCAUUUUAUCAUCAUUUUAUCUAGAAUAGAUAAAUGCAACAAAUGAUAGGAGUUGGGCAUCGAAUGGCGCCAAAUGGCACAGUGUCCAUGUCAAACCAAGAGUAAUUGAAAAUAAAUGCUUGUCAAUUUGGCAAUACCAACGAUCCUUUUAGUAAUGAAAAUUGAAGGUUCAAACUAUGCAAUAGAGUUUUCAAAAUGCGAUCGUAAAUUCUCUCUAUACAAUUUUCUGUGUUAGCUCAAAGUUAAAAAGGCCUAUACUGAUUUGACAUAUAUAUAUACCACUUUAAUUAAAAUAAGUAAGCUUGUUCUGUACAAUAAGAUGUAGAUGCACAUUUUAAUUCAGUACCUCGCGUUGGUAAUAUAUUUAUUUUUCACUAAGCUUUUGAUUGAUAUAUCUUAUUAAGGCGCAAUGCCCAAAUUCAAUCCUGGAGUAUUCUGAAACAGUUUGUGUUUCUUUAAUAUCUUUUCAGUUUUAGAAAUUUAGGUGCUUGGUAAGAAUUAGCAAAAAGCCCCCAUUCGGACAGUUAGGAGAGGAUGCUGCAAUUUCCAAACUAAGUACAAAUAGAUAUGUGAUACACAUGAAAUAAAUCAUUAUAACUCAGACCACACUAAAGUAGAACGAAUCAAAGGUAUGGACAUAAUAAAACUGAACUUCAGUUAUACAAAUAUGCAUCAACACAGUAGCCAUUCAGUUCAUAGUUUACAGGGGAAAGGAAUAAACAACUGCAUUGCUUGCCGGUUCGCUAGUGUUGUACAAUGACAAAUGCCAAUACCUUGUUUCUCCAGGACCAGCAGCAUGGUGGGGUCGGAUGCACUCAUCAUCACUUCAUGUGUGCGGAGCUCCCCAAGCCACACCCGUGGUCACCUCUCUUGCUGCCUAUCCAACUCGCUGCACCAUGCUCCGUGCUCACCGGUGCUAUCCGUCGACCCGCUUUGGUCGAGGCACUACCAGGAUGCUCGAUUUCGCACGGGUCUCUGUUUCCUUGUCUAAAUCCCGUCCAGAAGCUUCC
This 3711-nucleotide long non-coding RNA is filed under the name Triticum aestivum (bread wheat). RNAcentral's name for it is "long non-coding RNA (TAES_LNC023667)". Lineage: Eukaryota; Viridiplantae; Streptophyta; Magnoliopsida; Poales; Poaceae. The record is from RNAcentral.